RNAcentral lists this long non-coding RNA (559 nucleotides) under Triticum aestivum (bread wheat). RNAcentral describes it as "long non-coding RNA (TAES_LNC018841)". Lineage: Eukaryota; Viridiplantae; Streptophyta; Magnoliopsida; Poales; Poaceae. The record is from RNAcentral.
GAAGCGGCCGGCCCCUUUUCCUGCUACGGCUGGGGGCUCUGCGUCUUCUCCCUCUUCCUCGGCCCGGGGGAGGAAGACGGACCUGGCUUCGUUCAGCCGUAUCCCGGCGCCUGCGGUGAAGGAGGAAUUGGACGACCGCGGGACCAAGAAAGGACGGCCUUCGCCUCAUGUGCGUGCGAUCGUGAGCUAUGCCCUUCCUCUCCGACCUCUGUGUGCGAUCUCAUGUGCAUGCUCAGGUUAUUUUCCUUCAGGGUUAGUUAACUUGGCGGUCAGUUGAUUUGGUGGCCUGUCGUCAUGCGUUGCAGGUUGCUGGGAGGUAUGGCGCGGUAAGGAGGAACCGGUGAGAACGAGAUCAACGGGUGGCUCCAAGGGGACACGAAUCCACCUCGCUCGAGGCUGCAGUUCGCUUCGGAAAUUCAAAUGUUUGGUUAGAUCCUUCCUAGAUCGAUGAAGAAUGCAUGCAUUAUGUGCGUGCCUCGCGCUACUCUUGUCUGAAAACCAUUCCGGUUUGAUGCCGACCAAUAGUAUCUCUAACGGAUCCUUUAUAAUUUAUUAAGUC